GGAGGAUCCAAGCGUUAUCCGGAAUCAUUGGGUUUAAAGGGUCCGUAGGCGGUUUGGUAAGUCAGUGGUGAAAGCCCAUCGCUCAACGGUGGAACGGCCAUUGAUACUGCCAGACUUGAAUUAUUAGGAAGUAACUAGAAUAUGUAGUGUAGCGGUGAAAUGCUUAGAGAUUACAUGGAAUACCAAUUGCGAAGGCAGGUUACUACUAAUGGAUUGACGCUGAUGGACGAAAGCGUGGGUAGCGAACAGGAUUAGAUACCCUGGUAGUCCACGCCGUAAACGAUGGAUACUAGCUGUUGGGAGCAAUCUCAGUGGCUAAGCGAAAGUGAUAAGUAUCCCACCUGGGAAGUACGAUCGCAAGAUUA
This 365-nucleotide ribosomal RNA is filed under the name uncultured bacterium. RNAcentral's name for it is "bacterial SSU rRNA". It matches the Rfam family "Bacterial small subunit ribosomal RNA", at positions 527 to 896 of the family's 1533-position model. The record is from RNAcentral.